CCUACGGGAGGCUGCAGUGGGGAAUAUUGCACAAUGGGGGAGACUCUGAUGCAGCGACGCCGCGUGAGUGAAGAAGUCAUUCGUUAUGUAAAGCUCUAUUAGCAGGGAAGUAAAUGACGGUACCUGAGUAAGAAGCUCCGGCUAACUACGUGCCAGCAGCCGCGGUAAUACGUAGGGGGCAAGCGUUAUCCGGAUUUACUGGGUGUAAAGGGAGCGUAGAGGGCAGGUCAAGUCUGUAGUGAAAGGCGGCGGCUCAACCCUCAGAUUGCAGUGGAAACUGUACGGCUGGAGUGCAGGAGAGGUAAGUGGAAUUCGUAGUGUAGCGGUGAAAUGCGUAGAUAUCAGGAGGAACACCAGUGGCGAAGGCAGCUCACUGGACUGUAACUGACGUUGAGGCUCGAAAGUGUGGGGAGCAAACAGGAUUAGAUACCCGAGUAGUC
RNAcentral lists this ribosomal RNA (440 nucleotides) under uncultured bacterium. Its description in RNAcentral is "partial 16S ribosomal RNA". It matches the Rfam family "Bacterial small subunit ribosomal RNA", at positions 338 to 795 of the family's 1533-position model. The record is from RNAcentral.